This 395-nucleotide ribosomal RNA is filed under the name uncultured bacterium. Its description in RNAcentral is "bacterial SSU rRNA". It matches the Rfam family "Bacterial small subunit ribosomal RNA", at positions 505 to 898 of the family's 1533-position model. The record is from RNAcentral.
GUGUCAGCAGCCGCGGUAAUACGGGGGGUGCGAGCGUUGUCCGGAAUCACUGGGCGUAAAGGGCGCGUAGGUGGUCUUAUAAGGGUGUGGUGAAAGCCCGGGGCUCAACCCCGGGUCGGCCGUGCCGACUGUAAGACUAGAGUGCUGUAGGGGCAGGCGGAAUUCCGGGUGUAGCGGUGGAAUGCGUAGAGAUCCGGAGGAAGACCGGUGGCGAAGGCGGCCUGCUGGGCAGAUACUGACACUGAGGCGCGACAGCGUGGGGAGCAAACAGGAUUAGAUACCCUGGUAGUCCACGCCGUAAACGAUGGGUACUAGGUGCCUGGGGGAGCGACCCCUUGGGUGCCGGCGCUAACGCAGGAAGUACCCCGCCUGGGGAGUACGGCCGCAAGGCUGAA